This 813-nucleotide ribosomal RNA is filed under the name Triticum aestivum (bread wheat). Its description in RNAcentral is "partial small subunit ribosomal RNA". Lineage: Eukaryota; Viridiplantae; Streptophyta; Magnoliopsida; Poales; Poaceae. The record is from RNAcentral.
AUGGUGGGCCCAUUCAAGACGGCGCGCGGCGGCAUGACGCAUUUGCUCGUCGCCGUGGACAAAUUCACCAAGUGGAUUGAGGCAAAGCCGAUCAAGAAGCUGAAUGGGCCGACUGCUGUGACAUUCAUCGCAGACAUAACAACUCGGUACGGCGUGCCACACAGCAUCAUCACCGACAAUGGCACGAAUUUUGCCAAAGGAGCCUUGGCACGUUUCUGCGCAGCCCAAGGUAUCCGGCUGGACUUAGCGUCCGUCGCCCACCCACAGUCAAACGGCCAGGUCGAGCGAGCCAACGACCUCAUCCUCUCCGGCAUCAAGCCCCGACUGGUCGUACCACUGGAGCGUUCAGCCGGCUAUUGGCUCGAUGAGCUGUCGGCUAUCCUCGGGAGUCUGCGCACUACCCCAAACAAGUCAACCGGAUUCACCCCUUUCUUCCUUGUGUAUGGUGCCGAGGCGGUCAUCCCAACUGACAUCGAGUUCGACUCGCCUCGAGUAACCAUGUACACGGAAGCGGAGGCCAAGGAAGCACGAGAAGACGGUGUCGACCUGUUGGAAGAAAGCCAGCUAUUAGCCCUCAGCCGGUCCGCCAUCUAUCAGCAGGGCCUGCGCCGCUACCACAGCCGGAAGGUCAAGCCAAGAUCUUUCCAAGAGGGCGAUCUUGUGCUCCGGCUGAUCCAGCGAACAGCCGGCCAUCACAAGCUCUCGGCCCCUUGGGAGGGCCCCUUUGUCAUCAGCAGAGCCUUAGGCAAUGACUCCUACUACCUGAUCGACGCGCAGAAGCCGAAGGCACGAAAGAGAGACGACUCCGGCUAG